Molecule: unclassified non-coding RNA, 375 nt
Filed under: uncultured Pseudomonadota bacterium
Lineage: Bacteria; Pseudomonadati; Pseudomonadota
Description: uncultured proteobacterium contains 16S-23S intergenic spacer region
Source: RNAcentral
UCCAGUUCACACUGGCAGUAUCUUCAGAGUGCCCAACAUUACUUGCUGGCAACAGAAGAGGAGGGUUGCGCUCGUUGCGGGACUUAACCCAACAUCUCACGACACGAGCUGACGACAGCCAUGCAUCACCUGUGUAAGUCCGGCCGAACCGAGCCUUUCCAUUACGAAAGGCGUGACUUACAUGUCAAGGGCUGGUAAGGUUUUUCGCGGAUUAUCGAAUUAAACCACAUGCUCCACCGCUUGUGCGGGCCCCCGUCAAUUCCUUUAAGUUUUAGUCUUGCGACCGUAGUACUCAGGCGGAGCGCUUAACGCGUUAGCUGCGACACGGAUACAAAAUACCCACAUCUAGCGCUCAUCGUUUAGGGCGUGGACUAC